AGGGGGAUAACAUCCGGAAACGGGUGCUAAUACCGCAUAGUUUUUCUUGAUUGCAUGAUUGAGAAAGGAAAGACGGCCUUUGUGCUGUCGCUUAUGGAUGGACCCGCGGCGUAUUAGUUAGUUGGUGAGGUAACGGCUCACCAAGACGAUGAUACGUAGCCGACCUGAGAGGGUGAUCGGCCACAUUGGGACUGAGACACGGCCCAAACUCCUACGGGAGGCAGCAGUAGGGAAUCUUCCGCAAGUGGGCGAAAGUCUGACGGAGCAACGCCGCGUGAGUGAAAAGAAGGUUUUCGGAUCGUAAAACUCUGUUGUCAGAGAAGAACAAGUUGGAGAGUAACUGCUCCAGCCUUGACGGUAUCUGACCAGAAAGCCACGGCUAACUACGUGCCAGCCGCCGC
Molecule: ribosomal RNA, 401 nt
Filed under: uncultured bacterium
Lineage: Bacteria
Description: bacterial SSU rRNA
Rfam family: Bacterial small subunit ribosomal RNA
Source: RNAcentral